This is an RNA transcript of Lycium barbarum (goji berry), 4368 nucleotides long. RefSeq lists it as uncharacterized. The record is from RefSeq and is a predicted model, not a curated record. The transcript is spliced from 2 exons. NCBI's taxonomy places the organism in Eukaryota, Viridiplantae, Streptophyta, Magnoliopsida, Solanales, Solanaceae.
GUUUUGCCUCCAAAUAUUUCUAACACUUUUAAUUUUCCCACUCCAAGGCCCAAAACUCUCACUUCCCCAAAAAUCUACAUCUUUCUCUUUCAACAUAACGAUGGCGAUUUCAAAUUUACGAUGGCGAUUUCAACAUAACAAUGACUAAGUUUUCUAAAUCUGAUAUUUGAAAUCAGUGAGUCAUCCGAUUUGGUUCAUUUUAGGGUUCUGCCAUUUUUGCUCCUCUUUUAAUGCUUGUUAUUAGGUCUUUGUUUUGCUUGAUACUACAAUUUCAAAAUCUGAGAUUUGAAAUCAGUGAGUGCUCUUUAAUUACGUAUAUUGAUCUUCUUUAAGCACAAAAUAUGAGUUCACUGUUGCAUACAUGUGUAAAUUGGUUCGUAUUGACCUAAAUCCUAGCUCCUUGUUGGUUUUGAUGUUGUUUUCUGCUAAAUUUAGGCUAAAAAACUGAUGCAUGUUGUUCAUUUUAGUUUUUUUGGUUCAUUUUAGGCAAAUUUUGGCUAAAAAUUGGUAAAUAAUAGGCUAAAAGUUAUUUAUCUUAACUGAAUUGAAGAGUAUUAAUAUAUUAGCAGCUCUAAUAAGUUGUUUAUACGAUUUGUUGAUUUUUUUUUUUAAUUUUAGUUUGAUAAGUGAACCUUAUAAAUCUUAUUGGUGCUAUAUUAAGUGAUAGAAAUUAGUGCUAUAUUAUUUUGCUAACUGCUAGGUUCAUGAUCUGUUUUGUGCCUUUUUUACAUUUCUUUGAUGUUUUCAAAUGUUAAGAGUGGUAUGUUACGCUAUUUCUGAAUGAUAUUUUUGUUAAAGUUUGCGUUAAUAAUAUUUGUAGUGCUAGUGUGCACAUGUUCUGUUGUUUAAGUUCAUCAGAUAUGAUGAAAUUGUAUCUUGAAUAGGAUUCGUCUCGUAUGAGCUUUUCCUUUGGUUGUCUUUUUUGGCGUAGGUCUUGAUUUAUUAGUUGAACUAUAUGACUAGCCUUUUCAGAAUAUAUUCAGAGACUCUGUAAGUAUUUGGUGGAUUUUGUGGGUCUCUUUUGGUAUAGUCUUAUUAACAUAGCUUCUAAGUGGUGUUAAUUAAGAGGAAUGAGGCUAUUAGUAGUUCGAGAUGUUAGAAAUGUGUUGUCCGUUUUAGUAUUUGGGAUACCUCAUUUCUUGCUGCUCAUUUGUAGCAACGUGUAAAGUUGGUUUUGUAGUUUUGGGAUUUUCCUAAGCGAAUGUGUUCAACUUCUAGGGAUUUACAACGUAUUGGGGGGAGAAUCCAUUAGAGGGAGUAAUAUUGGGUUGAGAUUGUGUCCUAGCCAUAGCUAUAGUGACGCUCUACGUUAAAUUUAAGGUUUUUUGGAUUGCAAGGAACCAAGGUUUAUAGCCGAAGAGAGGAACUGGUUGUCCUUUUUCUCUCUUAUCAUCCCCAAAGCUUUUUUCUCCAAUCUAUUCUUGAAGAUCAAGUUGUUCUUUCCUUUUAUCACUAAAGAAGGUUAAGGUGUUUAGGGUCUCCUGUUGCAUUCAUCCUAGAUUUUAGUUUGGAUACAGUUCAUUAAAACGUCUAAUUAGCUAUGCCGGUGCAUGGAACUAAAUAUGGAUGAGGUUGUGCAUCUCAUUUUACAUUUUUCCUAAUUUUGCAAUGGGAGGAAUAGUUAUAUUGUUACCUUUUCAUAUUUGACACACCUUUUCGUUAAAUCUCUUAUAAUACAUAUAUAGUCUUUUCCAAAGUGGGAAAACCCCACCCACACAAGUGCUGAUCGGCCUUUUGUAUUUUGGAUGCGCUGCCCUCAAAAGUUCAUCAGCUGGUUUUGAACUCCAGCACUCCCCUUAUUUUUGUACUGUUGUUUGUAAUAGAUUGAGUUGAUCACAUGUUUUGUGAUUGAUUUAGAUUGCGACUUUGCUCUCUAUAUGAAAUUAGAUAUUAAGAUAUGAAGAUCCUUGAUGAUUCUGGACUUAGUUGUACUCUGAUUUUUGUUCUUAUUUAGUUGAUUUAUUCAUUUCUUUGUUUUCGUCACUGAAGGAUCGGUUUUCGUUGGCAUUGUGCCUAAAACCGAUGAAAUUAGAACAUUCUAAAGCUGCAAAAUCAGUUUUUCUUUUUGUUUUUUCUUAUUGAGUUGGGUUGUUCAUUUCUUAUUAAUUCGUUACUGAAGGAUCAGUUUGUGUUAGCAUCGUGCUUAAACUGAUGAAUUUAGAACAUUUUAAAGCUAUAAAAUCUUUUUCUUUGUUAUAAUGUUGUGUAGUUGGAUAAUAUAGACUUAAUAGGUCUUGGAUAUGAAGAUCCUUGAACGAUUAACUUAGACGUAAUUCCGUUUUUUCUUUGUUAUAAUGUUGUGUAACGAUCGAGGAUUGGAUGUGUAAUUGGAUAAUAAUAGCUAAGAUAUGAAGAUCCUUAAUGAUUCUGGACUUAGUGUACUUUGAUGAACAAUUUUAUCCGAACUUAUGAAAAAUUAUUAUUAAUUUAAUACAAGAUUGAUUUAUUCAUUUCUAUUUUCUUUUAAUUACUUCUUCAAACUUGUUGGACUGUGCUAUUUGCUGCUCCAACUCUUCCGACUGCUUCAUUGUUACUCUUGUGAGGUCACCCAGGUAUGAAAUCCAUCUUUCUCCUAUGAAAAACUUCGUUGUUGUUGUUGAUUGAAGGAUUCUUUUGUGUGCUCUAGGAAUAGGAUUCAUGUGAUAGCUGAUCUUAGCACACUCUUUGUCAUCUGCAAAGAUUAGGUUUGGGCAUAUAUGCAAUAGAGAAUUUGGUUAGAUGAUCAAAUUGUUCCAUGUAUCAUGUUUAAUUUGGCUUAAUGAUUUCUGAGUUAUGUAAUAAAGCUAUUAGUAAAAUGAUGAAAAGGAUAACAGUAACUGUAAAUUUUGGUGAAGAACAGUCUAAUGGCUUUAAAUUCGUUAGAUUCUGGUACCUCUAGGUUCUAGUAUCAUAUGGAAACAACUGGUCUAACACAUGUUUAUUCUGUGUCAGAGAGCGCAAUAUGAGUAAUUUUGAUCGUGAGUGGAUGUAUGAUAGAAUAUUGGAAGAUGGAUUCAUAAAUCCUAGAUUUAUUGAUGGGGUGGAGAAUUUUAUUGCAUUUGCUAAAAGACAUCCACAGUGCUUGGACAGUGAUAAGUUAAGAUGUCCUUGUAAUCAUCGUAAGUGUCAGAAUAAAAACAUUUUAGAUGAGUUUACAAUCAUGUCACAUCUUGGGAAUUUCGGCUUUGUACCAGAUUAUUAUCGUUGGUAUCACCAUGGUGAAAGUUAUAUUCCAUAUCCAAGCAUGCUUGAUUAUCAUCAAGCAACAUCUUUGGGUGAAACUGUGAAACUUGGAGAGGACCCAAAUCCAACAACACAACAUCUUUAUGACCUGCUCAAAGCAUCAGAACAGGAAAUUUGGGCGGGAAACCCACACGGACAUUCUCAAUUGUCGGUCGUUGCUCGUCUGUUGAAUCUAAAGGCAGAACAUCAUUUUUCUGAAAGGUUGUAUGAUGAGUUAUGUCAACUUCUAUCAGAAUUGAUGCCAACUGAUAACAUAAUGUCAGAUAGCUUCUAUAGUACCAAAAAGCUAAUGCGAGGAUUGGGCUUGCCGGUAGAGAAGAUCGACUCUUGCAAAAAUGGUUGUAUGAUUUAUUGGCGUGAAGAUAAUGAACUUGUCAAUUGCAAAUUUUGUUCUCACCCUCAAUUUAAGAGAUCAAAACAUCAACGUUCCAAGCAGAAAACUACUAUUUCUUAUAAGAAAAUGUGUUAUUUUCCUUUAACUCCACGUCUACAAAGGUUGUAUGCAUCUGAUGCUACAACAAAGCAUAUGAGAUGCCAUUUUGAGCAUGAAAGGGAUGGUGUCAUGCGUCAUCCCUCAGACUCUCCUUCUUGGAAGAAUUUUGAUCAGACAUAUUCAUGUUUUGCAUCUGAAGUAAGAAAUGUUAGAUUGGGUUUGUCCACAGAUGGGUUUCAACCGUUUGGUCCAUUAGGCCAACAAUAUUCUUCUUGGCCUGUGAUAGUUACGCCAUAUAAUCUGCCACCUUGGAUGUGCAUGAAGGAUGAAUACAUGUUUUUAUCUAUGAUUAUUCCUACAUGUUUUUAUCUAUGAUUAUUCCUGGUCCAAAAAAUCCAAAAUAGAAAAUUGAUGUCUUUUUGCAGCCCCUCAUUGACGAGUUAAAAGAAUUAUGGGAGGAGGGAGUCCAAACAUAUGAUGUUUCAAGUUGGAGUACAGCAGGAAAAUUAGCUUGUCCUUAUUGCAUGGAAGACUUGGAUGCUUUUUCUCUAUCCAAUGGUAGAAAGAUCUCAUGGUUUGACAAUCACAGAAAGUUCUUACCACCGGAUCAUCCGUGGCAAAGGAAAAAAGGUGGUUCAAGAAAGGUCAAACAGUCCAUCAGGUUGCAUCUACUGCACAAGCGGGUUUACAAAUACUUGGGGAGAUUGAGGAUU